UUACUUACCUGGCAGGGGAGACACCAUGAUCAAGAAGGUGGUUCACCCAGGGUGAGGCUCGGCCAUUGCACUCCGGUUGUGCUGACCCCUGAGAAUUCCCCAAAUGUGGGAAUCUCGACUGCGUAAUUUAUGGUAGUGGGGGACUGCGUUUGCGUUAGG
RNAcentral lists this small nuclear RNA (159 nucleotides) under Sinocyclocheilus anshuiensis. Its description in RNAcentral is "U1 spliceosomal RNA (ENSSANG00000015217.1)". It matches the Rfam family "U1 spliceosomal RNA". Rfam says of the family: U1 is a small nuclear RNA (snRNA) component of the spliceosome (involved in pre-mRNA splicing). Its 5' end forms complementary base pairs with the 5' splice junction, thus defining the 5' donor site of an intron. The record is from Rfam by way of RNAcentral. Lineage: Eukaryota; Metazoa; Chordata; Actinopteri; Cypriniformes; Cyprinidae.